ACUUACAUAGCUUAUAUAAGAGCAUUGCAUUGAAGCUGCAAGGGAGGUAAUUAAUACCUGUAGGUA
Molecule: transfer RNA, 66 nt
Filed under: Penaeus japonicus
Lineage: Eukaryota; Metazoa; Arthropoda; Malacostraca; Decapoda; Penaeidae
Description: tRNA-Phe
Source: RNAcentral